Molecule: unclassified non-coding RNA, 4308 nt
Filed under: Homalodisca vitripennis (glassy-winged sharpshooter)
Lineage: Eukaryota; Metazoa; Arthropoda; Insecta; Hemiptera; Cicadellidae
Description: uncharacterized LOC124353944, transcript variant X3
Source: RNAcentral
AUAUACCUCACCAUUUUCCAUCAAUCUUCAGUGUACGCUUUCAACAGUUUGCCCAGUAAGAGUAGGGACUCCAUAGGACUCGAUACUGGGGCCUAUGCUUUUUAACAUUUCCCUGUUUAACAUAUAAGGUCUUCCCCAAAUGAAGCAGCAACCCUAUUACAAACUGGUGUUACAAUUUUGACAAAUUAGUUUAAAAUUAGAUAGCCUACUCGUUCUAAAUCCAAUAAAAAGUGAGAAUAAGCCAUUAUAUUUAAAAAAAAAAAAUACGUUACUCCACCAUACAUUGUAAUAGAAAAUUCCUUCAUCUCAUGGAAUGUUGAUGGUCGAGACAUCAAGUACUUAGGUCUGUAUCUCCAUAAGAAAUUAUCGUGGAAGUUACUAAUGAAUACAAAAUUAACGCAACCUUAUGCACGUUUAUCUCUUCAGUUUACUUAAUGGGAAUUCUAGUUUAAAGCCGGCCUGCACACUAAUGAUUUAUACAAGUAUACUGAAACCCUUAAUAAUUUAUGCCUGUCCAGUUUGGGGACUACACAUUUCUUCUGGUAAUAUGAAAAAAUUCAGACUUUUAAAAUAAAUGUUAAGUAUUGAGGAUAGCAGCUAAUUAUCCCUGGUACAUUCGAAAUACCCACCUCCGUGAAGACUUGAUUAGAUUUGGAAGUUUAUUGAGAGAACAUCUAAGUGUUAGCUAAUUUACACAGUGUUCCCGGAGCAAUUACAUUCCAUAUUGGAGAGACAACCUUUGAUCGACGUCUGAAACCAAGACCUCUCCAGGAAAUUCUAUAUACUGUUUCUUAUUCCCGUGAGUAAUCAGAUAUCAUUAUCAUUAUUCCGGUGAGUUGAAGAAGAGAUUUAUAUAACGCGAAUGCGUGGUAGUCCUAGUUAAAUAGACUUUUUACAUGACUCACCAUUCUAGUUUUAUUCCGUAGUCUAUGGCAAAUACCGUGUGCUCUGCGAACCGAAUAUUUUAGUGGUCUGAGGUUAUAAAUCGCAUUCAUCGCUUUUGAAAUUUAAGUUUACGUGGUUAAAAGAUUCUAUAUUUGACAAUGUAAUAGUUUAAAGGUUCUACGUCGCAUGCAAUUAAGGGGCCUACCCGUGAUUUUGGUUAACUGUUAUAAAGUAACAGUUAUGUUAUUUUAGUACCAUCUUUAUUGAUUGGUGGGAGACAACAAUAAUAAACACACCUGUUGAGAGUGGGAGUGGGACCGGUCCACUAGUCCAUACAUUAAGCACUCUUCGAUAUAUCCUCGUAAACAAGUUCUGUUUCUGGACCCAUGCAUGGACAGAACUUAGAUGGACUACUUGAAACUUGAUAUUUUAGUUGAAUGAUGCUGGGAGAGAAUCAGGUAACUCUUGUCCUGGUGACUUAGAGAGAUCUCGAGAGUGAUCAUAUUCGAUCAGCAUGUGCUAAUUUUUGUUCUAAUCAAACAUUAAUCAUGUCUUUGACAUCAUUGCCAUUGGAAGUUCUAGAAGCAAUAAUGAUGUAUGUUGAUGCAACCGAUCUGGUCAAUGUAUGGAAGUCUGUAGGCUUUGACAGCAGUGAAACCUUUUGGAGGAAAAUGUGUGAGAGAGAAGGCUAUAAAAAAGAUUUAGAAGAGGAUGAAUCCUGGAGAGAUGUUUUUGUGAUAAGGACCAACUGGCUUAGUUAUAAGAAUUGUGUAAAACGACGAUAUGAAGAGACCAGAGCAUCAUAUCCUGCCUUAAAAAUGGGUACAACCGAGGCAACUUUAAAUUGAUGUGGAACCACACCUUGAGCAAAAGACUUACUAAAAGUAUCAAACAACAAAGGAGCAAACACUUCAAUAUUUUCCUUAAUAGUAGUUAUACUAAUGCCAUCAAUGCCGCAACUAGGUUUAUUCUUUAACAAAGUAAUAGUUUUAAUAACGUCAUUAUAAUCACUUGCAAACUUGCUGAAAAAAACAUUAUGCUGUAAAUUAUCUAUUAAAAACAUGUCGCUACCAAAAGCCUCUACUCUAAGAGUUGAAAUGAUAUUAGUGUAGUACGUGUUAACCCUUCCCGGGUCAAUGACGGUUAUAUACGCCUAACUUAACAUUUCCCGAGGGUCAUAUGCGUAUAUUUACGCAUACACUUAUUUUGGCCAAGUGUCAAAUGCAUGUAUAUACGCAUAAUCAUGUUCAUGAAUAUCCUUAUUGUUUGCAGUUGUCAGCUAUUCCAGCUAAUCAGGAACAUAAUAUAAGUAGUUUGGCGGCAGUAUGGUUAGGGGGGGGGGGUGCCGGAGUUGCUUGGGGGGGGAGGACCUUUAGCGGCAACUGAAUGAAGGUCAUUGUCGGUUGCUUCUUUGUUUACUGAGUCGCUCUCCACUCGGCGUACUGAACUGAAGUUGUUAGGUUGUUUCAUACUCGAUUAUACCUAUUGAAUUGAUGUAGAUGAAAUUUAUAAUGUACGUUGCCUUGGAAUAAGUCAUGAAUAUUUUAUUCCUACAUCCCACCCAGUUGUACUCUAAAAAGUAAAUUCGCAAUCAGUUCUGUAAUUAUUGAGUGAAGUAGUUUGGUGGCAGUAAGGUGCGCCGGAAUAGCUCGGGCUGCUUGGUGGGGGAGGGGUUUUAUCGGCAAGUCAAGGUCAUUGUCGGCUGCCUGCCUCUUUGUUUCUCAGUCGCUCUGCACCCUAUGCACCACGGCUAGACGGAAAACUUCAUCUCAUGGGAAGAGACGCAAAGGGUCAUCGAUGCCAUGUCUGCUAUAAAAAAUAUCUGCGAAAAGAAACAAUCUAUUUUUGUAAAACGUGUGUCAACAAACCGUUCCUUCACCCACAUAGCUGUUUCGAAGCUUAUCAUAACAUGGGGGACUAUGUGAGUGGACAGUGAUCAAUCUCCUUUGUUAUAUGACUAGUUUUUACUUUAUUUGUUUUGUACGUUAACCCUAAUCAUGUAGUACAUACUUAUUUUUAAUCAUAAAAUGUUUUUAUUACGCUAAACCUAAACAUCAAUUAUAUUUAUAUACGCAUGUCAAUUCGUGGAAGGGUCAAUGACGCUUAUAUAACUGGUCUAUCACACAAAAAAAGGUGGGGAAAAUUAUUUAUGGAUAGAUUUCCAUUUUUCCAUGACAGGUAAGCAAUUUAAAAUCAAAUUGAGUAGUUUUUGUCAAAAAAACUUUUUUACCCCAACAGAUGAAUAAUAUGCAAUCUAAGGGUACAGUAAGUUGACCUUGGAAGGGUUAAAUGCAUCUGCUAUGUUUUUCAUUGCCAGUAACCUUGACCAACAUACCGUCUACUAAAACACUGCUAAUUGACUUACAUUUAGUCACAAUUUUCUUAAUAACAUUCCAAUAUUUUUUUGAGUCACCAUUACAUUUGCCUACCAGAGCAAAAUAAUACUGAAGCUUAGUUUGCCUAAUUCUCCUAGUAACCGUAUUAGAUAAACCGUAAAAGAUGUUUGAUAUUGUUCAUACAGUUUCAAUUAUAUAGAUGUUAAAUGUUAUUCCAAAAUUGUCUAAUUUAAUGCAUUUUACUCCAACUAGAUAUCUGGUUGUAUAGUGGCUGUGAUAUUGGUCAUACUGUUUCAAUUAUGUAGAUGUUAAAUGUUACUCCAAAACUGUCUAAUUUAAUGCAUUUUACUCCGACUAUAUAUCUGGUUGUGUAAUUGAUGUGUGAUAUUGGUCAUACAGUUUCAAUUAUAUAGAUGUUACAUUUAAUUUAAAAAUUGUCUAAUUUAAUGCAUUUUACUCCGUCUAGAUAUCUGGUUGUAUAGUUGAUGUGAUAUUGUUCAUACAGUUUCAAUUAUAUAGACUUUAAAUGUUAUUCCACAACUGUCUAGAUAUCUGGUUGUGUAAUUGAUGUGUGAUAUUGGUUAUACAGUUUCAAUUAUAUAGAUGUUACAUUUAAUUCCAAAAUUGUCUAAUUUAAUGCAUUUUACUCCGUCUAGAUAUCUGGUUGUAUAGUUGAUAUGUGAUAUUAGUCAUACAGUUUCAAUUAUAUAAAUGUUAAAUGUUAUUCCAAAAUUGUCUAAUUUAAUGCAUUUUACUCUGUCUAGAUGUCUGGUUGUAUAGUUCAUGUGUGAUAUUAGUCAUACAGUUUCAAUUAUAUAGAUGAUAAUGUAAUUCCAAAUUGUGUAAUUCAACCCUCGUACUGGUGGUGUCUGCUCCUCUACUGGCACCUUUUUUUUGCUGUUUGUAAGAAUUACGUUAAACUGUUAUAUACCUCUCAAAAAUCUUCAAAUAUACAACUUAUUAUAUAUCACUGAUUUUAGAAUAUUCAAAAUAAUAAAAAGUUAUAAUCAUUAAUAUUGUCUUAUUAAAAAAAAGGUUUCUGUGUUUGAAUGCGCUUGAUAUGAAUUUAAAAAAAUAUUUUAUAACU